UUAUAUGAGAGUUUGAUCCUGGCUCAGGAUGAACGCCGGCGGUGUGCCUAAUACAUGCAAGUCGAACGCGUUGGCCCAAUUGAUUGAUGGUGCUUGCACCUGAUUGAUUUUGGUCGCCAACGAGUGGCGGACGGGUGAGUAACACGUAGGUAACCUGCCCAGAAGCGGGGGACAACAUUUGGAAACAGAUGCUAAUACCGCAUAACAGCGUUGUUCGCAUGAACAACGCUUAAAAGAUGGCUUCUCGCUAUCACUUCUGGAUGGACCUGCGGUGCAUUAGCUUGUUGGUGGGGUAACGGCCUACCAAGGCGAUGAUGCAUAGCCGAGUUGAGAGACUGAUCGGCCACAAUGGGACUGAGACACGGCCCAUACUCCUACGGGAGGCA
RNAcentral lists this ribosomal RNA (386 nucleotides) under Limosilactobacillus fermentum. RNAcentral describes it as "bacterial SSU rRNA". It matches the Rfam family "Bacterial small subunit ribosomal RNA", at positions 1 to 350 of the family's 1533-position model. Lineage: Bacteria; Bacillati; Bacillota; Bacilli; Lactobacillales; Lactobacillaceae. The record is from RNAcentral.